GCCCUUGUUAAUAAAAUUUAGUAUUCUUUUUACUACUGAAAACUAUUAUGGAGACAUCUCGAAUAACCUGGUAACAGUAUUUGACCGUUACGACUUCAUAGAGAUUUAAAAUCAACAAACUAACAGCUAUAGACAGACUUUUCCGAACUUCCAACUCUACAACCCUUGUAUAUUCCUUUUCUAAAUUUUUUAAAUAUUAAAUUCUAUAACAAUGAAAAA
Molecule: long non-coding RNA, 219 nt
Organism: Zophobas morio
Lineage: Eukaryota; Metazoa; Arthropoda; Insecta; Coleoptera; Tenebrionidae
Exons: 2
Source: RefSeq, a predicted model, not a curated record